UACGAAGGGGGCUAGCGUUGUUCGGAAUCACUGGGCGUAAAGCGCACGUAGGCGGAUUCCUAAGUCGGUGGUGAAAUCCUGGAGCUCAACUCCAGAACUGCCUCCGAUACUGAGAGUCUCCGAGUCCGGGAGAGGUGAGUGGAACUGCGAGUGUAGAGGUGAAAUUCGUAGAUAUUCGCAAGAACACCAGUGGCGAAGGCGGCUCACUGGCCCGGUACUGACGCUGAGGUGCGAAAGCGUGGGGAGCAAACAGG
RNAcentral lists this ribosomal RNA (254 nucleotides) under uncultured bacterium. RNAcentral describes it as "partial 16S ribosomal RNA". It matches the Rfam family "Bacterial small subunit ribosomal RNA", at positions 524 to 776 of the family's 1533-position model. The record is from RNAcentral.